GGAUGCGAGCGUUAUCUGGAUUUAUUGGGUUUAAAGGGUGCGUAGGCGGACGCUUAAGUCAGCGGUAAAAAUGCGGUGCUCAACGCCGUCGAGCCGUUGAAACUGGCGUUCUUGAGUGGGCGAGAAGUAUGCGGAAUGCGUGGUGUAGCGGUGAAAUGCAUAGAUAUCACGCAGAACUCCGAUUGCGAAGGCAGCAUACCGGCGCCCUACUGACGCUGAGGCACGAAAGCGUGGGUAUCGAAC
RNAcentral lists this ribosomal RNA (243 nucleotides) under uncultured bacterium. RNAcentral describes it as "partial 16S ribosomal RNA". It matches the Rfam family "Bacterial small subunit ribosomal RNA", at positions 530 to 773 of the family's 1533-position model. The record is from RNAcentral.